UGGGGAAUAUUCCGCAAUGGGCGCAAGCCUGACGGAGCAACGCCGCGUGAAUGAAGUAAGGUUUUCGGAUUGUAAAGUUCUGUCAUUAGGGACGAAGGACCUGUGCGAAUAGUGCAGGGAAUGACGGUACCUAAGGAGGAAGCUCCGGCUAACUACGUGCC
This 161-nucleotide ribosomal RNA is filed under the name uncultured bacterium. RNAcentral's name for it is "partial 16S ribosomal RNA". It matches the Rfam family "Bacterial small subunit ribosomal RNA", at positions 355 to 509 of the family's 1533-position model. The record is from RNAcentral.